UCUAUUUACUUAAUGUUCCCUUAAAAUAAUUUAUACCUCUUAUAUAGGAUUUUAAAGUUUAUAAAUACAUUUUGAGAAUUUUUGAAGUGCAGCAAUUUCAUAGUUUUCCCUAUUAUAUCAACAAUAAAAGUGUAAGAGAGGAAAUCAAAUUCAUCAUACUGGAAGACCAACUCCAGCAGGUUAAGCGCAGGAAGGAGAGAGAAUUCUGAACAAGAAACAAAGGAACUGAAAAGACCCAAACAACUGAACUCACUUCUCUUUGGGAAACCCACCAGAGAGUCUGAUCUGAGCAAACCUCUGAGCUUGGAGCAUCCUCCUGUGAAGCCAGACCUCAAGAGAAACUAAUUUCUACCUGCCUCAGUCUCCCCAUCUCCCUUAAAUUUUAAUCUUUACAGUUGGCAACCACGAAGGGAAAAAGAACUUUCAAUCUUCUGAUUUCUUUUCUGAUCUUAAAUUCAGUUUUAAUA
This 467-nucleotide long non-coding RNA is filed under the name Monodelphis domestica (gray short-tailed opossum). RNAcentral's name for it is "lncRNA (ENSMODG00000049866.1)". Lineage: Eukaryota; Metazoa; Chordata; Mammalia; Didelphimorphia; Didelphidae. The record is from RNAcentral.